CAAAUUACUGAUUUAUUUAUCUACACUGCGUAAGUUAGCUAUUGCCUUGUUAAUCGUCCACACGGCAGUGUUGCCACUAGCCAGGUGCAACAUUUCUACACCACAUCACUGACUUCCACGCUCUCGUAAAUUUGAUGUUAAAGACUGAUUCAACCAUCACGUCACCGACACAUCACACGUCACGUCACCGUCCAUCAACCGUGCCUUGUAGAUUGACAGUCACUAGUAUCCAUCACGCUUCACGAUCCCGUCCAGUUCGUGCUCGACCCCCCAGUUGGUAGUCAUGGCGCAUGGCAGACUUAACGUUAAGAAGCUUGCAUUAGGGUAAAACACCGCAUGGUACAGGGGUGGACCAUGUACGAUCAAUGUGUCCCACCCCAAAAAAAGUACAUUAUAACGCGUCCUGACACCGGAGAUGGGCAUCAGUCGCGACUUCUUGUUGGUGAGAAACGGAGGUAAAGACCUCUACUCUCCUUUCAAAAUGCUUAUAGAUCUGUGGGAUUGAAGUAACAUAUGACCAUUCUUGGAAAUUAUCUUAAAAAGUAAGAUGAUGAAAAGAACAUGCUUGUAAAUAUUACAAGAGGAUUUUUCUUACUCCAGAAAAUUCAGCUUCCUCAGUCAAAGCCUGUGUCUGUUCUGCUUCUGCCAUCACAGCUGCAUCAUCUUGCUCCCUCGUACUUCUGCAGUAUAAUUUGUAAGUGGUUAAGAAAAGGAAGAAUUAUGGCUCUACCAGCCUACGGUUGACCAGUAAGUUAAAGUUAUGGAACAAAUCCUCAGGUACAUCACUGAUCUGUAUUGGAAAAAUCUACAUAAUUUAUAGGUGAACAUCUUUGUCUUUUUCAUUUUUGUGAGAAAUGACUACCGUAACUGUUUGGUGAUAACUUGGGCACUCACUAUUUUAUCUACUGCUUUGUAAGCUGACAUCCUUAUUAAAUGUGGCUAAUGCAAGAUGAAACAUAUUUUAUUCAUUUAAACCUGAUUAACUUCUGUCUGUUCUGCUUUAAAAAGCCAAGGUUCACACUUGAUUUGAUGCACUUAAAGCUAAUUGUUAAGCACUGUAUAAUUAUUAUUUUCCUUAUAUCAAACUAUCAAUGCAUCUAGGUACCUUAUUAACAGAAGCAAACCUUUGUAUAAUUCCGCUUAUGUUGACACAUAUUGUAGUUUUCAGAUUUGGCAAUUUACAGGUAUUUGUAGACUUGCUGCAAUGUUUUCAGUAAAUGAUCAACCUAGCUUCUUGAAAAGUGAGGGUAGUUCAUGUGAAUGUUGUCUAAAAUCACUUCAAAUUUGUCUGGGAGAUGAAUGAUUCAGAAUUCUAAAAGUUUGCAAAAGUUGUGCCUUAAUUU
Macrobrachium nipponense is the source of this 1343-nucleotide long non-coding RNA. RefSeq lists it as uncharacterized. The transcript has 4 exons. NCBI's taxonomy places the organism in Eukaryota, Metazoa, Arthropoda, Malacostraca, Decapoda, Palaemonidae. The record is from RefSeq and is a predicted model, not a curated record.